This 301-nucleotide ribosomal RNA is filed under the name uncultured bacterium. RNAcentral describes it as "partial 16S ribosomal RNA". It matches the Rfam family "Bacterial small subunit ribosomal RNA", at positions 509 to 807 of the family's 1533-position model. The record is from RNAcentral.
CAGUAGCCGCGGUAAUACGUAGGUCCCGAGCGUUGUCCGGAUUUAUUGGGCGUAAAGCGAGCGCAGGCGGUUAGAUAAGUCUGAAGUUAAAGGCUGUGGCUUAACCGUGGAGGGUCAUUGGAAACUGUUAAACUUGAGUGCAGGAGAGAAAAGUGGAAUUCCUAGUGUAGCGGUGAAAUGCGUAGAGAUUAGGAGGAACACCAGUGGCGAAGGAGGCUUUUUGGCCUGUAACUGACACUGAGGCGCGAAAGCGUGGGGAGCAAACAGGAUUAGAUACCCCAGUAGUCCCUGUCUCUUAUAC